This 795-nucleotide ribosomal RNA is filed under the name Arthrobacter sp. RNAcentral's name for it is "bacterial SSU rRNA". It matches the Rfam family "Bacterial small subunit ribosomal RNA", at positions 635 to 1427 of the family's 1533-position model. The record is from RNAcentral. Lineage: Bacteria; Bacillati; Actinomycetota; Actinomycetes; Micrococcales; Micrococcaceae.
GGCAGACUAGAGUGCAGUAGGGGAGACUGGAAUUCCUGGUGUAGCGGUGAAAUGCGCAGAUAUCAGGAGGAACACCGAUGGCGAAGGCAGGUCUCUGGGCUGUAACUGACGCUGAGGAGCGAAAGCAUGGGGAGCGAACAGGAUUAGAUACCCUGGUAGUCCAUGCCGUAAACGUUGGGCACUAGGUGUGGGGGACAUUCCACGUUUUCCGCGCCGUAGCUAACGCAUUAAGUGCCCCGCCUGGGGAGUACGGCCGCAAGGCUAAAACUCAAAGGAAUUGACGGGGGCCCGCACAAGCGGCGGAGCAUGCGGAUUAAUUCGAUGCAACGCGAAGAACCUUACCAAGGCUUGACAUGAACCGGAAUGAUGCAGAGAUGUGUCAGCCACUUGUGGCCGGUUUACAGGUGGUGCAUGGUUGUCGUCAGCUCGUGUCGUGAGAUGUUGGGUUAAGUCCCGCAACGAGCGCAACCCUCGUUCCAUGUUGCCAGCGGGUUAUGCCGGGGACUCAUGGGAGACUGCCGGGGUCAACUCGGAGGAAGGUGGGGACGACGUCAAAUCAUCAUGCCCCUUAUGUCUUGGGCUUCACGCAUGCUACAAUGGCCGGUACAAAGGGUUGCGAUACUGUGAGGUGGAGCUAAUCCCAAAAAGCCGGUCUCAGUUCGGAUUGAGGUCUGCAACUCGACCUCAUGAAGUUGGAGUCGCUAGUAAUCGCAGAUCAGCAACGCUGCGGUGAAUACGUUCCCGGGCCUUGUACACACCGCCCGUCAAGUCACGAAAGUUGGUAACACCCGAAGC